GGGGACAUAGCUCAGUGGUAGAGCGUUCGCUUAGCUUGCGAAAGGCCGUUGGUUCGAUUCCUUCUGUCUCCA
Molecule: transfer RNA, 72 nt
Filed under: seawater metagenome
Description: tRNA-Ala
Rfam family: tRNA
About the family: Transfer RNA (tRNA) molecules are approximately 80 nucleotides in length. Their secondary structure includes four short double-helical elements and three loops (D, anti-codon, and T loops).
Source: RNAcentral